GGGGAGGCCAAAGUAGGAGCUGUUCCAUGUCCACAUCUCUAGUAAAAGUUUGCUAGGAAGAAUGUAACAUUUGUAGAAUAAGAUUUGUAUAUGGCCUAACCACUGCCUUAUAAAUUGAGACCCGGUACUACUACCUUUUUGGGGGACUCAGAAACAGAAUUUGAUGCUGUAGUACCUGCCAGGGAUGGAGCAGGAGUGCAUCAAGACCGGAGCCCUGCACAAUUCCCUUCAGCUGAAGUGCUGAUGGGAGCACCUGAGAAGGGCAUAGGGCUGAUGCCAGGCAAAGCUUCUCUCCAC
RNAcentral lists this long non-coding RNA (297 nucleotides) under Heterocephalus glaber (naked mole-rat). RNAcentral's name for it is "lncRNA (ENSHGLG00000025218.2)". Lineage: Eukaryota; Metazoa; Chordata; Mammalia; Rodentia; Bathyergidae. The record is from RNAcentral.